UUGUAGCCUUUAUCUGCACCUUUGGGCUGUUGGGAGUCCAUACCACUUGAAGUGUGAAUAAUAGCUGGACACCCCCAUAGCGUGUGUCCGAACUCUCCCCGAGGCGCUUCUGAACUCCUCCACGCCAUGUCCCGUGAAGAGCGGUUCAGUACAUGAAAAAGUGAAGUAUAUAAAGGAACAGAGGUUGGUGCUUUCGAUUGUUACUUGGAUGCAUAAGCAAAAUAGAGUAAAAGGCAUAUGGGGAUAUAUUUAUGUGACUGGUAAAUAAGAAAAAUAAGUUCACAUUAUUAUUAUUAGCACUACUGUGCCCCUGUAGUUUUAUUUACGUGAGAUAUUUAGAAGCUACCUUUGUUUCUUCAAUCUUAAUAUUCAGUUUCUUGUCUCUUCUGGUCCUAACCAUAGUCUCUACAAACUAAGUAUAACCAUUGCACUGAUGCAGGUAUACUCUACCUUUUAUUCCAGGAAGUAAAUCUGACAAUACUUAGAGCUCUCUUAAGAUGGCGUUUGGGGUACUUGGUGGAGGUUCAACGAUGAUCUACACCCCGCGGAUCCGUUGGUGUCAACGUGUCAGCAUCAUAUACAUCAGGGAAGUGCAUCUAAUCCCACUGCAUCGUUCCUUAUUUAUAUCAGGGAAGUUCCAUUCUAUGAUUCAAGUUCUUUUUUGUCAGGGAGUUCACUUUUCUCUUGAGAUUCACUCCGUUUACUUUUAUAAAAAGGAAGUCCACCUAUUAAGGUAGAGUUGUUCGCUUAAAAGAUAAAUGAUAUUCCACUUUUAAAGGGAAUACCACGAAAACAGAUCUUGUUUUCUCCAGUUCUCUAUUGGUCUUUCAAAUUAGCCACACAGUUGAUGUAUAUUCCACUUUUUUAGUUUCAUGUAUUUCACUUUUGUUGGACAGUUCACUUUGCACAUAAGUGGAAGCUCAUGUACAUCGUGAAUGUUCAUUUCAUUCAUCUAUGAAACAAACUAAAUGGUCAUAGUGAGUUCAUUUGGUGUAAAAAGGGAAGUUCACUCUGCAAAUAAAAUGAAUUUCAUUUGAACAAAAUGCAUGUUACUGAAAUGGAGGCGCUCAGAGCAAUCUUGUUUUGCUAUAUAAAAGCAUUAUCUACUAUUUCUUUUGCUCUUGACCAUCUAUCACUGUUUACUAGUAUCCUUAUGCUGCCUUUUUUUCUGUAUAGCAGAGGAACACUACUUGAUCGAGCCUCCUAUGCUAUAUCUAAGAUGUGGAAUGUGCUAUAUCCAAGGACAUAAACAUGGUGCCAGCCCCGCCCUUCUUCCGGCUAGUGGACGCGGCUUGGCGGUCCCUCGGUGUCCAUGGCGUAGUCAAGCCCGACUGUCAUGCGGCGGGCGAGUCCGCUCCAGGAGAAUCACCAGGACGGACACAUUGUAGGCUGAGUGAAGUUUACUGAUACUAAUUCGUGGAGUUAACUUGUCCUAAUCGUGAAGUUCAGGUCUCCUAAUACUUCAUUGUAUACUAUUCCUGCUAGAUGGAUUUUUGCUAGAUGGAUUUUUUACUAGUUAGCAGCACCAUGAGGACCGCCCGCCACCAGCGUGUACUGCUGGUCCGCCGCCGCCAACAGCACCGGCGUCGCGUGAAUGAUGUGAUCGACGGUGUGCGUGGCACGCAAUGUGCACGACGUUAAUACUGAUGAAUCGAAUCAGCCAGAUUGGCAGAGCAAGUGCUAGUACAGAAGUUUCUGUGACUCUAGCUAGUUAACAGUAGAAGAAGAAGCUGAGCGUGAUUGCCAAGCAUGUGUGACUGCUCUUUCUACUUUGGUCUCAAGUCUGAUGACAUUUUGGUGUUUGAGCGUUCCUGCAACAUGCAUAAGCGUGUUUUGUACUUUGUCUAGUACUGUGUACUUCGUUUGAGCUGUAGUGUUCAAUUUUCCUAUCUGUGAA
Non-coding RNA from Lolium perenne, 1897 nucleotides. The record is from RefSeq and is a predicted model, not a curated record. Lineage: Eukaryota; Viridiplantae; Streptophyta; Magnoliopsida; Poales; Poaceae.